RNAcentral lists this ribosomal RNA (253 nucleotides) under uncultured bacterium. RNAcentral describes it as "partial 16S ribosomal RNA". It matches the Rfam family "Bacterial small subunit ribosomal RNA", at positions 524 to 776 of the family's 1533-position model. The record is from RNAcentral.
UACGUAGGGUGCAAGCGUUGUCCGGAAUUAUUGGGCGUAAAGAGCUCGUAGGCGGUCUGUCGCGUCUGCUGUGAAAACUCAGGGCUUAACCCUGAGCUUGCAGUGGGUACGGGCAGACUAGAGUGCGGUAGGGGAGACUGGAAUUCCUGGUGUAGCGGUGAAAUGCGCAGAUAUCAGGAGGAACACCGGUGGCGAAGGCGGGUUGCUGGGCCGACACUGACGCUGAGGCGCGAAAGCCAGGGGAGCGAACGGG